This is an RNA transcript of Anguilla anguilla (European eel), 6526 nucleotides long. It is a transcript of the gene named protein quaking, with no coding region annotated. Lineage: Eukaryota; Metazoa; Chordata; Actinopteri; Anguilliformes; Anguillidae. The transcript is spliced from 8 exons. The record is from RefSeq and is a predicted model, not a curated record.
CACACUCGGCACAGCAGCGCGCACGCUCUGGACUGGAAGGACUCUGCUGUGCAGUCUGAUCAUGUGACGGGCCGCGAGCCCAGGCAAAGCAGAGCGAGACAGUUGUCGGAGACCGAAACGCCAGCUUCAUUGAAAAGCUCCGUUAUUGAGAGCAAGAGACAGGAGAGAUAGACAUUUUCGGUGCACAGACACAGAUAACACAUACCGCAAGCGCUUCUGAACUUCGGGGAAAAGGGACAUUUAAACGGCCUUAAGACAUUCGUUACGAAGAAGGACAAGACAGAUUUAUUAAAAAAAUUAAAGAUUCAAGAACAGUGGGGCACACGGGAGUUUAUUCUUCAUUCUGAGCAACUUGUGGAAUUAUAAGGGCAUCGUUCAAAAGAAGAAACUACCUCUCACCCUCUUUUCCCGUUUUCUUUUUUUUCUCUGUUUUAUUUAUUUUUUUGUAUCUUCCUUUGCAGCAAGUGAGAGGAGAAGGAACACAAUCGCAGCACUGUGCAUAAAGAAAGUGAUCGCGGCACCGCGAGGCAGAAGGGCUUGCUGCGUUAGCUAGCCAGAGGGGACAGGACAGAGGGUGGAAUAGACACAUCGCGCGCCUCUCGUACGAGCCUGUAUUUUAUAUCGUGUGUUUAUUUAUACGUUUUUAGUGUUGUUUUUUUUUUUUUUUUGCUCCUCGAUUUUGUCAGGGGUGCGUGAUUUUUUUUUUUUUUUUGGAAUAUGGUUGGGGAAAUGGAAACGAAGGAGAAACCGAAGCCGACCCCAGACUAUCUCAUGCAGCUUAUGAACGACAAGAAACUGAUGAGCAGUCUGCCCAACUUCUGCGGGAUUUUCAACCACCUCGAGCGACUGCUGGACGAAGAGAUCAGCCGGGUGCGGAAGGACAUGUACAACGACACGCUGAACGGCAGCGCGGAGAGGAGGGCCUCGGAGCUCCCGGACGCCGUCGGGCCCGUCGUGCAGCUGCAGGAGAAGCUCUACGUGCCCGUCAAAGAGUACCCCGACUUCAACUUCGUGGGCAGGAUCCUGGGACCGCGGGGCCUGACGGCGAAGCAGCUGGAGGCGGAGACGGGCUGCAAAAUCAUGGUUCGAGGGAAGGGAUCCAUGAGAGACAAGAAGAAGGAGGAGCAGAACCGAGGGAAGCCGAACUGGGAGCACCUGAACGAGGACCUGCACGUGCUCAUCACCGUGGAGGACGCUCAGAACAGAGCAGAGAUCAAGCUCAAACGGGCCGUGGAGGAGGUCAAGAAGCUGCUGGUGCCUGCAGCGGAAGGAGAGGACAGCCUGAAGAAGAUGCAGCUUAUGGAGCUGGCCAUCCUCAACGGCACGUACCGGGACGCCAACAUCAAGUCACCCGCCCUCGCCUUCUCCCUCGCAGCGAGCGCCCAGGCCCCCCGAAUCAUAACAGGCCCCGCCCCGGUGCUGCCCCCCGCCGCCCUGCGCACCCCCACCCCCGCCGGCCCCACCAUCAUGCCUCUGAUCCGACAGAUCCAAACCGUCAUGCCCAACGGGACGCCCCACCCCACCGCCACCCUAGUGCCCCCCGGGCCCGAAUCGGGCCUCAUCUACGCGCCCUACGAGUACCCCUACACGCUGGCCCCCGCCACCUCCAUCCUGGAGUACCCCAUCGACUCCAGCGGGGUGUUAGGUGUGGCUUUCCCCAUGAAAGGCUAAAAGCGUUCAAGAACGGUCUUACUGAGAACCUCAUCCGAGCGUUAACGCAGUGCUUUGUCUCACGGCUGCCUUGAGUAAAUAAACAAACGAAAAAGAAAAAAAAAAAAAAACACACGCGCUUGGCCUAGCAGUCAGUCAGACAGCCUCCUUACGCUGCCGGCGCUUACAGUGGCAGUGCCCACCCGGGAGACGCUGGUCUUUUUACGCCAACCCCCCAGUCACUGUGCGCUUGCAAUGCGUACACCCCCCCCCCCCCCCCCCCCCCCGAGACUGUUUCACUGACUGCUACGUUCUGGGAAACCCCAUAUAAUAUUUGUCUCGCUUUACUAAUCACAUAAUUCAUUGCGAUUUUUUUCUACUACUUAUUGUUUAUUAAAAAAAAAAAUAUAUAUAUGAAUAUAUAUAUAUAUAUAUAUAUAUAUUUAAAAAAUCUCAGAUUUUACUACUGCGGACGUGCCUGAAGCUCUCUCUAGCUCUCUCUCUCUCUCUCUCUCGUGUCUGAGCCUGCUCCAGAGAGCGUGAUCAGUAUUAUAUUUAACGCGCCGGCUGUCCCUGCGGCAGACUGACUUACGUGACUAGUAAAGCCAGCGCGCGCUCGUGUGUGUGACGCCAGCGGUACUGUACGGAGGGGUCCCGCCACUGCGGACCCACCUGGUUAAUGGCGGCUCCUUAGAGGCGACGGCAGCCAUCUUAGAAAUGACUAUUAGACAUACUGUUUUUUUUUUUUUUGUUUUUUUUAUUGUUUUUUUUUUUAAGAAAACCUUCAAUUGUGCCUUAACUUGUAUUUUGUUUUUCUUUUCUUAUUUGCAUAAUUUGUUAGAUGUGUUUGGUCAUAUAUAUAUAUAUAUAUAUAUAUAUAUAUACAUAUAUACAUAUAUAUGUAUAUAUAUACACACAGAUAUACUGUACAAGAUACCUGCUGUUGUUGUGAAGAUUUGUGUAGAAUGCUCUAACUUUGUUUUGGUAAUGUUGCAAUUUGAGCAGGUGCAGUGGCCACUAAGGUUCGAAGGCAUGAUUUGCGGGUUCAUCCUUACCAAAGGAUAGUGACCGCAGACAGAGCCGCCACCGGCAACUAACCUAUGACCCUCUGACCUCUGAACUCUUCACCCAAUGAUGACCUGACCAUUGCCUGCCUGCUGAUCAGUUCACUGGUAAAAGCAAAAGAGAAAAGAAGGAAGGCCUUCGCUUGUUGUCUGUCUCGUUCGCGGUGAGCCAAGGGGUCGAGGUUUUCACCUAACAAAUCCACACAGCGAGACCUGACAGUGCCGCCGCCCCCCCCCACCCCCCACACACACACACACGGCUCUACCACCUCCGGCUUGCCCCCACCGUGAUUCCAGACCUGCACUGAAAAGUUGAAAAAGCAAUAAGGUCUGAUUCGCCACCCGACCAUGCCACGACCCAGCCAAGGCCACGCCCCCUCCCCUUACCAAUCACCAAUCACACCAAGCCACUCUGGCUCCGCCCCCCCCCCUCCCCUUUCUCCACCGCUCUGUGAGGAAGAAGGAGGAAGAGGAGGAACAUGUGAAAAGCAAUGCGGCGGGAUAGCAGUCGGCAGCCGUCUCCCGCCAUUGGCUGCCACGGUAACAGCGUCGCCAGGAGACCUCUGAUCAUGGUAAACGAAUCGGUCCUGAAUGUAUUCUGUAGUGAUGAGCUCUCAUGCAUGAACCUUGCAGUCUUUUGUUCCAUCUGUGGCGAAAGAUAAUCCACUUUAUCUUUUUUUUUUUUAAAUUUUUUAAAGAAUUUGUCAUUAGAAUUUUAAAAAUGCAUAUUAUUAAAAUCAGCAAUCUAGACAGGGGAAUCAAAAAAAACAUUUCUGGGGUUCUUCAAUUAUCUGAAACCUAGUGGUGAUUAGAAUGGGGUUGGGCUUGGGUGAAGAGGGCUGGGUAGAGAAUAGCCAGGUAGGAAGGGGCGGAGUAAAGAUGUAGUGGGCGGGGCUGGUUUGGGGGGGAGGGGCUUAGGACACUGAGUGACAGCAAAGGUACAUGCAUCAUGAGUCCCAUUACUCAGCAACUAUUUUUUAAAGACCACUUCCUUGUAAAGACAUUUCUUUAAGGAUGUAAAAGCCAUGCCUGCCUAUCUGCUGUACACGUGUAUUGAAAUUGUACAUAAGUGUAUAUACAAAACAAACAAACGAAAAAAAAAAAAAAAAACACUAACAUAAAAAAGGUAAAUACUUUUACUACAAAAGGGUGCUGGUGAAGAGAAAAUAUAUUUUUCCAAAAUUUAGUAUUUUAUACUUUCAAGUGUGGUGAAGAAGACGCCGAACAAAGAAACCCUUUAUUUCGUGAAAACAAACCGUUUUCGUUCCGUGGAAAGAGAGGUAUUAAAGACCAAAACAGCCUUUUUCUGUUUUCCCUUUUCCCUUUUUUUUUUCUUUUCUUUUUUUUGUUAAGCAUUUAAAAAUGAAAAGGAAAUGAAAGUGCCUUAUUUUCCUCACGGUCAUCAAAUGUGAAUGUCUCAUCAGUCCGUUCUUACUGCAUACCAGGGCCAUGUACACGCUGUCUCUGGCCCUCUCCGUGUGAAGCAAUGAGAAUGAGCCUCCUCAGGCUCCAGCCUGACUCAGUCUUGCUGUUGCUGUUUCCGAAUAAAUUAGAUGCCUGUUUCUGGAAGCCCAGCGCGCCAGUGGACCACUGACACCCCAGUAAAAGGGAAGACUGACAGUCAGAGUGUUGUUUUUGAUCCAGAGAACCACUGACACUUCCAGGCUUGUAUAGACCGAGGACGCAGUGCCACUGGCACCCAAAGGAAUCUGUCCUCAAAGUCCCAGGCCACCACUGACACCCAAUUUGAAUCUUUAUUAUCAAAGCCAGGUCACCACUGACACACCAUUAAAGUCUAUAUUAUCCAAUCCAAUCGGACCAUUAAAGUCUAUAUUAUCCAAUCCAAUCGGAUCGGAUUUGGAUUUGGACCAUUAAAGUCUAUAUUAUGUUGCCUUGGGCAGCACUGACACUCAAUUUGAGUCUGUAUCAUCAGGCCCAGGCCACCACUGACCCUCUAUUAAAGUCUAUGUUAUAAUGCCUUGGGCAGCACUGACACUACAUUUGUGACACUAUAUUAUAACUCUAUAUAUAUAUAUUACCAGUGAGACCAGAUCUUGAUUUGCAAGGUCUCGGACAGGAAUUUUUUAAGAAGCACGUCUGUUCCCCAGCCACUGUAGCGACACCGUUGGGGUUUUUUUUUUUUUUGCGUUUUGCAAGAGCGGCGUAGCGCGAUCCCGCCAGACCGGCGACGACAUGGAGGCGCUGGGCGUGGAGCAGGGUCGCGGCUCAGAACAGCCUACAGGCCUGGAGCAGCCUAGAGGUCUGGAGCAGCCUCGCUUAGAGAACAGCCUAGAGGCCCAGAACAGCCUUGCGUAGAGAACAGCCUAGAGGCCCAGAACAGCCUAGAGGUCCUGAACAGCCUCGCGUAGAGAACAGCCGGACUGCCGAGCCGUCCCAGCCGCGGUGCAGGGCCAGGGAGCGGCUUCACUGAGCAGCCCUGGGGGUGUUAGACACCGCGGGCGUGCGCUCACACUCACACACACACACACACACACACACACACUCACACACACACGAUUAACAGGACUGAUAUUUCACCACCGACAACUACAACAACAACAACCACUGACACUGUCGGCGGUGAAAUGUCACUCCAGUUAAUCGUGUGUGUGAGUGCACAGCCGAGAUUGUCGGUGGGGGAAAGGGAACAUAAACAUCGGGUUCAACUUUAACACCAGUGUCUGGAGCCUGGGACCCUGCACCUCCACAUUUAGGACUACUAGGUACACUCUGUUCCCCCCUUUUACACCCUGGAUUGAGCUCUAUCCUGCCCCCUCUUUAUUUACUAUGCAACACAUCCGUCUCCUCCACCGUAUGUGCUGAGUCUCUGCAUCAUGAACUUGUCUUCCCGUUAGGAGAGAGGUUGUAAUCUUAUGGUUUUUCAUUUAGUUAUGAUUAUGCAGUGCCAUUAUUAUUAUUAUUAUUAUUAUUAUUAUUAUUAUUAUUAUUAUUAUUAUUAUUAUUAUUCUUAUAGUUAUUAUCACAUGAACCGAUAGACAGAAAUGUCAAUGUCUUUGGAUUAAUUAUGAGGAAACUAUUAAGGAGAUUACAAGAUUGCAAGUUUUAUUGGGGGAAAACCUUGAAGUGUCUGGAGAAAAUAUCAAAUGCAAAGACUACAUGGUAUUGGCAAGGUAGAAUAGAUUAAUUUGGAGGUGAGAUUUUUAUAUCCAAUAAGCUUUACUUCUUUACAAUCUCACCCCUGAUUAGCAUUUUGUUAUAAUAUUGUUUUAUUGAAAGAAGCCUUUUUUGACAACAUCAUUUCAGAUUUUUGUUGACGUUAAUGUCAGUGUGUGCAAAGCAGUUGUAUCCUCGUAUGUCUGACAUAUCUCACCCAUAAGUACAGAGUCAUUCUGUUACACCACUCAACUGAUGCUUUGUAUUUACCUGGUCCAACUUAUUGCCUACAAGAAAAUGACAUGUACCUGUAUGUAUUUACAGCAAGUGUUACAAGUUUAUAAUGUAUUUUUCUAUCUUAUUUUAUACGUUAUUGAAAACACUGAAAUUACAUUAUUUCCAAAUUUGAACACAAACAAAGAAGAAAACAAAAUAUAUUCACAAAAAAGAAAAAUAAAUCCAACUCAAGUGCAAAUGUGAAGGUUCUUUUAAAAGGCAUUUGAUUUGCUUUAUGGUACAGACCUGGAACACUCCACAUGGAGCCUUAUCAUCAUGAAUAUUUUACUGAAAUACUUCCUUUGAAUUUUAUUUUUGUUUCGUUUUUUAUUUUUACGUUGCUUGCAUUUUGCGUCUUUUUGUUGUAAAGUGUUCUUAUUAACCGAUAGUAUUAUUUUAAUAAAUAUGACUAUACAAAUGUA